UACGUAUGGAGCAAGCGUUAUCCGGAUUUACUGGGUGUAAAGGGUGCGUAGGCGGCACAGCAAGUCAGAUGUGAAAGACCGGGGCUCAACCCCGGGGCUGCAUUUGAAACUGCCGAGCUUGAGUCCGGGAGAGGCAGGCGGAAUUCCUAGUGUAGCGGUGAAAUGAGUAGAAAUUAGGAGGAACACCAGUGGCGAAGGCGGCCUGCUGGACCGGAACUGACGCUGAGGCACGAGAGCGUGGGGAGCAAACAGG
This 253-nucleotide ribosomal RNA is filed under the name uncultured bacterium. RNAcentral describes it as "partial 16S ribosomal RNA". It matches the Rfam family "Bacterial small subunit ribosomal RNA", at positions 524 to 776 of the family's 1533-position model. The record is from RNAcentral.